AAGGUGCGGUAACACGCACUGGAGGACCGAACCGUUCAAUGUUGAAAAAUUGUCGGAUGAGUUGUGCUUAGGGGUGAAAGGCCAAUCAAGCCGGGAAAUAGCUGGUUCUCCGCGAAAUCUAUUGAGGUAGAGCGUCGGAUGAUUGCCGUUGGGGGUAGAGCACUGGAUGGUUGCGGGGGUCGCGAGAUCUACCAACACUAACCAAACUCCGAAUACCAACGAGUCUAGUCCGGCAGACAGACGGCGGGUGCUAAGGUCCGUCGUCAAAAGGGAAACAGCCCUAACCUACAGCUAAGGUCCCCAAGUCAUCACUAAGUGGGAAAGCAUGUGGGAUUUCCAAAACAACCAGGAGGUUGGCUUAGAAGCAGCCAUCCUUUAAAGAAAGCGUAACAGCUCACUGGUCUAAAUAAGAGAUCCUGCGGCGAAGAUGUAACGGGGCUAAAGUGAUGCACCGAAGCUUAGGGUGUGAUCGUUUACGAUCACGCGGUAGCGGAGCGUUCCGUAGGCCGUUGAAGCGAUCUGGUAAUGGGUCGUGGAGGUAUCGGAAGUGCGAAUGCAGACAUGAGUAGCGAUUAACAGUGUGAGAUGCACUGUCGCCGAAAUUCCAAGGGUUCCUGCUUAAAGCUAAUCUGAGCAGGGUAAGCCGGCCCCUAAGACGAGCCCGAAGGGGGUAGUCGAUGGGAACCACGUUAAUAUUCGUGGGCCUGGAGGUGUGUGACGGAUGGUGUAACUGGUCUGGGCUUAUUGGAUUGCUCCAGGCUGGGAAAUCGUCCCAGGAAAUAGCCCCUCCGUAUAGACCGUACCCUAAACCGACACAGGUGGAAUGGUAGAGUAUACCAAGGCGUUUGAGAGAAGUAUCCUGAAGGAACUCGGCAAAUUGCCUCCGUACCUUCGGAAGAAGGAGGCCCCACAUAAGCGCAAGCUCUUGUGGGGGGCACAGGCCAGGGGGUAGCGACUGUUUAGCAAAAACACAGGGCUCUGCUAAGUCGGCUUCAAGACGACGUAUAGGGCCUGACGCCUGCCCGGUGCCUGAAGGUUAAGAGGAGGUGUGCAAGCACUGAAUUGAAGCCCAGGUAAACGGCGGCCGUAACUAUAACGGUCCUAAGGUAGCGAAAUUCCUUGUCGGGUAAGUUCCGACCUGCACGAAUGGCGUAACGACUUCCCCACUGUCUCCAGGAUAUGCUCAGCGAAAUUGAAUUCUCCGUGAAGAUGCGGAGUACCCGCGGUUAGACGGAAAGACCCCGUGCACCUUUACUGCAACUUCAGAGUGGCAUUAGGAAAGAGCUGUGUAGCAUAGGUGGGAGGCUUUGAAGCAUCGACGCCAGUUGAUGUGGAGCCAUAGGUGAAAUACCACCCUGCUGUUUUCUGAUGUCUAACCUCGCACCGUUAUCCGGUGCAGGGACCCUCUGUGGUGGGUAGUUUGACUGGGGCGGUCGCCUCCUAAAGAGUAACGGAGGCGCGCGAUGGUGGGCUCAGGACGGUUGGAAACCGUCUGUUAGAGUGCAAUGGCAUAAGCCCGCCUGACUGCGAGACUGACAAGUCGAGCAGAGACGAAAGUCGGUCAUAGUGAUCCGGUGGUCCCUCGUGGAAGGGCCAUCGCUCAACGGAUAAAAGGUACGCCGGGGAUAACAGGCUGAUGAUUCCCAAGAGCUCAUAUCGACGGAAUCGUUUGGCACCUCGAUGUCGGCUCAUCACAUCCUGGGGCUGGAGCAGGUCCCAAGGGUUUGGCUGUUCGCCAAUUAAAGUGGUACGUGAGCUGGGUUCAGAACGUCGCGAGACAGUUUGGUCCCUAUCUGCCGUGGGCGUCGAAAUUUGAGAGGAGUUGACCCUAGUACGAGAGGACCGGGUUGAACAUACCUCUGGUGUACCAGUCGUUCCGCCAGGAGCGCAGCUGGGUAGCUAUGUAUGGACGGGAUAACCGCUGAAAGCAUCUAAGCGGGAAGCCUCCCUCGAGAUAAGAUUUCAUCGAGCCGUCGUAGACCACGACGUUGAUAGGCUGGAUGUGGAAGUGGAGUAAUCCAUGAAGCUAACCAGUCCUAAUUGCUCUGUUCGCGCUUAA
This 2059-nucleotide ribosomal RNA is filed under the name Sphingobium xenophagum. Its description in RNAcentral is "23S ribosomal RNA". It matches the Rfam family "Bacterial large subunit ribosomal RNA", at positions 748 to 2925 of the family's 2925-position model. The record is from RNAcentral. Lineage: Bacteria; Pseudomonadati; Pseudomonadota; Alphaproteobacteria; Sphingomonadales; Sphingobiaceae.